GAUGAACGCUGGCGGCGUGCCUAAUACAUGCAAGUCGAGCGAACGGACGAGAAGCUUGCUUCUCUGAUGUUAGCGGCGGACGGGUGAGUAACACGUGGAUAACCUACCUAUAAGACUGGGAUAACUUCGGGAAACCGGAGCUAAUACCGGAUAAUAUUAUGAACCGCAUGGUUCAAAAGUGAAAGACGGUCUUGCUGUCACUUAUAGAUGGAUCCGCGCUGCAUUAGCUAGUUGGUAAGGUAACGGCUUACCAAGGCAACGAUGCAUAGCCGACCUGAGAGGGUGAUCGGCAACACUGGAACUGAGACACGGUCCAGACUCCUACGGGAGGCAGCAGUAGGGAAUCUUCCGCAAUGGGCGAAAGCCUGACGGAGCAACGCCGCGUGAGUGAUGAAGGUCUUCGGAUCGUAAAACUCUGUUAUUAGGGAAGAACAUAUGUGUAAGUAACUGUGCACAUCUUGACGGUACCUAAUCAGAAAGCCACGGCUAACUACGUG
Molecule: ribosomal RNA, 497 nt
Filed under: uncultured bacterium
Lineage: Bacteria
Description: partial 16S ribosomal RNA
Rfam family: Bacterial small subunit ribosomal RNA
Source: RNAcentral